Acanthosepion pharaonis is the source of this 110-nucleotide non-coding RNA. The record is from the annotation of a GenBank genome assembly. Lineage: Eukaryota; Metazoa; Mollusca; Cephalopoda; Sepiida; Sepiidae.
ACGGCCACAUAACGCUGACGCACCGGUUCCUGUACGAUCACCGAAGUUAAGCAACGUCAAGCUUGGUCAGUAACUAGAUGGGUGACCGCUUAUGAAUACCAGGUGCCAUA